RNAcentral lists this ribosomal RNA (227 nucleotides) under uncultured bacterium. RNAcentral describes it as "partial 16S ribosomal RNA". It matches the Rfam family "Bacterial small subunit ribosomal RNA", at positions 524 to 748 of the family's 1533-position model. The record is from RNAcentral.
UACGGAGGGGGCUAGCGUUGUUCGGAAUUACUGGGCGUAAAGCGCACGUAGGCGGCUUUUGUAAGUUAGAGGUGAAAGCCCGGGGCUCAACUCCGGAAUUGCCUUUAAGACUGCAUCGCUAGAAUUGUGGAGAGGUAAGUGGAAUUCCGAGUGUAGAGGUGAAAAUUCGUAGAUAUUCGGAAGAACACUAGUGGCGAAGGCGACUUACUGGACACAUAUUGACGCUG